This 253-nucleotide ribosomal RNA is filed under the name uncultured bacterium. Its description in RNAcentral is "partial 16S ribosomal RNA". It matches the Rfam family "Bacterial small subunit ribosomal RNA", at positions 524 to 776 of the family's 1533-position model. The record is from RNAcentral.
UACGUAGGGUGCGAGCGUUAAUCGGAAUUACUGGGCGUAAAGCGUGCGUAGGCGGUCCGCGAAGUCUGAUGUGAAAUCCCCGAGCUCAACUCGGGAACUGCGUCCGAUACUGGUGGGCUUGAAUCCGGGAGAGGGAUGCGGAAUUCCAGGUGUAGCGGUGAAAUGCGUAGAUAUCUGGAGGAACACCGGUGGCGAAGGCGGCAUCCUGGACCGGCAUUGACGCUGAGGCGCGAAAGCUAGGGGAGCAAACGGG